This 451-nucleotide ribosomal RNA is filed under the name uncultured bacterium. RNAcentral's name for it is "bacterial SSU rRNA". It matches the Rfam family "Bacterial small subunit ribosomal RNA", at positions 28 to 507 of the family's 1533-position model. The record is from RNAcentral.
GAUGAACGCUGGCGGCGUGCUUAAUCCAUGCAAGUCGAACGAACCGGGGCAACCUGGUUAGUGGCGGACGGGUGCGUAACACGUGGGUGACCUACCCUGAAGUGGGGAAUAACUGUCCGAAAGGGCAGCUAAUACCGCAUGUGGUCUGGCCGUGAGGUCAGAUUAAAGGCGUAAGUCGCUUCAGGAGGGGCCUGCGGCCUAUCAGCUAGUUGGUGGGGUAAAGGCCUACCAAGGCGAAGACGGGUAGCUGGUCUGAGAGGAUGAUCAGCCACACUGGCACUGAAACACGGGCCAGACUCCUACGGGAGGCAGCAGGAAGGAAUUUUGGACAAUGGGGGAAACCCUGAUCCAGCAACGCCGCGUGGGCGAUGAAGGUCUUCGGAUCGUAAAGCCCUUUUCUGCGGGAAGAGAGAGGACGGUACCGCAGGAAUAAGUCUCGGCUAACUACGUG